RNAcentral lists this transfer RNA (85 nucleotides) under Actinomycetes bacterium. RNAcentral's name for it is "Actinobacteria bacterium tRNA-Tyr". It matches the Rfam family "tRNA". Rfam says of the family: Transfer RNA (tRNA) molecules are approximately 80 nucleotides in length. Their secondary structure includes four short double-helical elements and three loops (D, anti-codon, and T loops). Lineage: Bacteria; Bacillati; Actinomycetota; Actinomycetes. The record is from RNAcentral.
GGGGGGAUGCCCGAGUGGUUAAAGGGGACGGGCUGUAAACCCGUUGGCGUUGCCUACACAGGUUCAAAUCCUGUUCCCCCCACCA